Amphiprion ocellaris (clown anemonefish) is the source of this 1079-nucleotide long non-coding RNA. RefSeq lists it as uncharacterized. NCBI's taxonomy places the organism in Eukaryota, Metazoa, Chordata, Actinopteri, Pomacentridae. The transcript is spliced from 5 exons. The record is from RefSeq and is a predicted model, not a curated record.
AUCGAUCCUGGCCAAAAUCGAACCAACGUCCAGCCAAUCACGUGGCGCUCCUCCGGUCAUGUGACGCAGACGGUUCACCUCACAAGACCGGGGUCAACCACGGCUACCAGCAUGAACGACGGCGCUUCACAACACCGUCUGAACUGACCAGUCUGGUGAAAUUCUGGACUGGAUGGGAGACUCUACCAAGAACUCUCUCCUCAGAAGUAGUGAAUGGCAGAUACCAGGCAGCCUCCACCUGCUAUGAGACCUUACAUUCCCAGGACAUUACAAGGACCUUUGUAGCGAGGACCCGAUGCCAGGUCCAGUGGACAGACUUCAGACGUCUCUGUGUGUCCGGUCCUGUCUCUGGUUGCCUGGUUACAGACGCUGCUGCACCCGCACGUUUAAAAAUGUCUACACCUGAAACUCCACCACGUCUAAAGAAGCAAAAACGUUUGCAAAUGUACAGACUGGAGUGGGAAGAGUGGAACCCCUGGCAAUGGAUACAAGGCAAACUGUGUUUUCUGUUGCUCAUGGACUGGCUGAAGUAAGGCAGCAUCAGGAGACAAACAUGGAGGAAAUAUGAGAACAGAGAGAACCCAACCAGCAGGUCACAGUUUAUCAUCAUCUAAUCAUCUCCUCAAGUCGAUAUGGUCCCUCUCUAUCUCCCCACACAUCCACCAACCACUGGAACACAUCUCCAAAGUUCUGCUGGUCCAGCUCAGCUUCCCCUCAGAAGAAGUGCCGCUACCUGCCAGAUGAAGGAGCCUUUUGAGAGGCAGCUGGCAUCGUGAUUGGACUGUACUUUGGUCUGUUCCAAUCCAGCUUCAGCUCCAGAGACGGCAGGCGGGACGAGUCAACGGAGGCCGGGUGGACGAAGGCAUGCAGCUGAGUACAAUCCAGAAAACAACAGAGGAGGAGUGCAGCGGCCCAGAGCCAGAACAACCAGAGUAGCAUCACUAAAGAACUACAGACUCUUCACAACCUGCUCAAACUCUUGGUACAGGACCUCACCACACGGGUCAAGAAGGUUUCCAUCUCAUUUCUACUCUGAAGCUCACCUUCUCCUGCUCAAACUGCUGACAAAUGUUUCUGCU